This 2217-nucleotide ribosomal RNA is filed under the name Triticum aestivum (bread wheat). RNAcentral's name for it is "partial small subunit ribosomal RNA". The record is from RNAcentral. Lineage: Eukaryota; Viridiplantae; Streptophyta; Magnoliopsida; Poales; Poaceae.
AUGAACCAUGCCUGCAACACAAAAGUAGAACCCUUCCCUAGGGUUGACGAGCCUCUCGACCCGCAUGAUGACGUGUUUCCCGGUGGCCGUCGGAUCAAGAGUGGGAGGAGCUCGGUCGUCGGAUUGAGCCAGUGCGACUCGCCCCGUGGAGGGUAUUUUGGGUAUUUCGCAUCAUGGGUAUGUGCGUGUCGAUGGGUGGGUGGGCGCUUCCCGUCGGGCUUCUCUCCUUCCGGGUCCUCACUUCCCCGAUUGGGUGAAACCCUAGCCACCACUCCCCGUCGGGCUUCUCUCCUCCAUUCCCCAUCGCGCCCCUCUCUUCCAAUCCCUGUAGCCGACGACGAGAUCUUUCCCUUCGCCGAGCUUGCCACCAUCGCUGCUCUCCCCUCGCCAUCGCCGGGAGGAGUGUGCAAGCCGCCGCUUGCGUCAUUUCUCCGCAGCCGCCACCGCCCCCUUCCCUUCCAAACCCGCGGAGAUGACGGCGCCGGCGUCGGCGCCGGCGCUCGCGGUGGUCGGGUACUGGGCUGCCCGGCAGCCGCGGGGCCCAGACGCGCUACAUCGUCAAGGACCUCAAGCUGUCGACGGCGGGGACUGAGUCACCGCCGCAUCAUCUUCUCCUUCUCCCCAACACCGCAUCUCCUCCUCCCCAACACCGAUGAGUGCGGGUCGCCGUCCCACCAGAUGAGAUGGGGCAGCAACCACGCCCCCUUCACCUCUUCUACCCAGCCGUGCCACUCGGGACGACAAGAUCCAGCCGCGGCGGCCGAGAUCCAGCUGGCUGCCAUUGAUAUGAGGAGCGCUCGCGCCGCUGCUCCGCCGUUCGUCGUCCACUUGGCCGCAACCAUCCACAAGAAGAGCAUUCUUACUAUAUCACCUGAAUUUCUAAUCUUAUGUUCCUGCUAUUAUGCUCUUGCCGCAGGGGUGAUGCUGUCACUUCCAUGGUCCACCAGAAUGAAGAUCGCACUCAGUGCUGCAAGGGGGCUUGCCUUCCUGCACGAAGCUGAGAAGCCGCGAGUUGCUGGCUUUGAGGCCGAUGACGGUGUGUUGUUUUCUCUGGUGGUCCGGCCAGCUACGCCCAUCCUGGAGGCCGACAUGCCUUCUCCGGCUGAAAUCCCCUCGCCCUGGCCCCACUCGCUACAUGGCGCUGAACAUUCAACCAAGGAGGGGUGGUGCCUCUUCUCCGGCCCGCACAUACCAUCCCCAACACCAACAUCGGAUGACUCGAAGCGAGACAAUGGAUCAUGCCAGAUAUUCAUGGCGCUGCAUAGGCAUAGUUCAGUUCCUGGGAGCACUAGCUGCUGCCGUAUACAUGUAAAGAAGACCAUAUCAAUAUAUAGUCCACCGCUAAUGAAAGUUCAAGAUGGCAAAGAAGUACAUUUAUUACAACCAUGCAUGAUACAUGCUGAUAAACAGAAUGAUAAAAACUGGUACAUCUCUAAUAAAAGUUCCUUGUUGGUGGGCCAUGUUACAUUGCCAUUACUUCGUUUGUGCGCUCUGCUCAUGCGGAGCUUCCAGCCAUGGGGUCGUUUGGCACCGGUAUAUGUGAUUAGUGGAUCUUCAGUCUGCGGGCACCGAGGAUACAUACAUAGUGGGGUGAGUGCUUAUUUGCUGACAGGCCAUGUUAAAUUGUCACUGUUUGGUAUGGGUCGCUUCAUUUUAGAUCAUUCAGAUGGAAUCUCCUGCAAGAUUGGUACCUGUGAUGAAGUGAUAGAAAGUCUUUGUCAAUUGUUGUACCCGACCCACUGGUGGUUUGGUGCCGGUGUACGCAAUGAUUGGAUCAUCGGUUCAUGGAAGAGUCGAUGGAGGGCGUGCAGGAUUAUCAAGUUUCAGCAGCCAAUUCAAAUCCGCGGCAUGUGUGCUGAUGAGACAGGUGCCGCAACUGUGAGACCCAAGUCAAGUCUCCCCCCCAAAAAAUCAGUCUCAUUUGGCACGAUGCCAUGGAGGUGCUCACGCAGUUCGUCGCGGCGGCGCAGGUGGCUCGCAGGUCGACAGUGGGCGGCGGGCAUCCAGUGUGUGGUCGACUGGUUGGAGCAGUGCGCGGCCACGCAGACCUCACGGCACGCACUGACACAGCAGCAACAUGCAAGCAGCACGCAUGGCACACAACAUAGAGGUGAGGAAGAGGCAACCGCCCGUGUGCUCGCCAUCCCGCAGUUGACGACGAUCGAGGUGGGCAAGGAACAGGAGUGCGUCGUCACGUCCGCUUUGGCUCUAGUAUAG